Molecule: long non-coding RNA, 1071 nt
Organism: Oncorhynchus masou masou (cherry salmon)
Lineage: Eukaryota; Metazoa; Chordata; Actinopteri; Salmoniformes; Salmonidae
Exons: 4
Source: RefSeq, a predicted model, not a curated record
UAUAACUAAUCAACUAAUUCCAUUAUGUUUACAUAAAAAAAUAGGAUACUUCAAAAUGAGAAGAUCCUGCCAUGGAAAAGAUGACUGGGUGGACAUGAAGUGGAAAGGAGGGUGAAAUAACUCACACCGUGCAGCAGGACACCUUCAGCUGUGGGGUCUUUGUAAUGCAGGUUUGAUAGUUAUAUUUUCAAUAAUGAAUGGUUAGCUGUUAUGUGACAAUUAGGGCCAUUUCUUUGUGUGUAGAUGGCCAAGGAAGUUGCACAGAAUUUCCCCAACAUCCCCUCCCAAAUUUACAUAGAACCUUCACAAAAACGCAUGGAGCAACUGCGAAAAGAAAUGGCUGUAGAAUAUACUAAAAAUGGCUGAGUUCAACAAAGCCAACAACUGUUUCAUGUGUGACACUGAUAAAGAACCUGGAUGUGGCCCAAAGACUGACUGGAUUGAAUGUUUUGCAUACCAACGGGGGUUCCAUGUGCUGUGCCUAGGAAUGAAGACAAGAGUUCAGAGUGAAGAACACAAACUAGAAGUUCUGUCUUUGUUGAAAGUGUAUGCUAUACCCCAUCCACACUGAAGAGGCUCUGAAAUGUACAUCAACCAGGGAUAAGAGAAAGUUAACACUGAAAUGUGUUGUACUUAUUUGAAGCAUGACAAUGCCCCCAUGCACAAAGCUAGGUCCAUGCAGAAAUGGUUUCUUGAGAUCGGUGUGGAAGAACUUGACUGGCCUGCACAGAGCCCUGACCUCAACACCAUCGAACACCUUUGGGAUGAAUUGAAACGCUGACUGCGAGCCAGGCCUAAUCGCCCAACAUCAGCACCCGACCUCACUAAUACUCUUAUGGCUGAAUGGAAGAAGGUUCAGCAAUGUUCCGACAUUUAGUGGAAAGCCUUCCCAGAAGAGUGGAGGCUGUUAUAGCAGCGAAGGGGGGGACCAACUUCAUAUUAAUGCCCAUGAUUUUGGAAUGAGAUGUUUGACCAGCAGGUGUCCACAUACUUAUGGUCAUGUUGUGUAUCUUUCAUAAUUUUGCCCCUAAUGUUAUUAGACUACCUCCACUUUCUUUCUCUAUUGUUACU